CGAACGAAGUAGCAAUACUUAGUGGCAGACGGGUGAGUAACAUGUGGGUAUCUUCCCUUUGGUGAGGAAUAACACGAGGAAACUUGUGCUAAUACCUCAUAAGUCUUUACGGAGAAAGCUUUAUGCGCCAAUGGAUGAGCCCGCACUUGAUUAGUUUGUUGGUGGGGUAAUGGCCUACCAAGACUUUGAUCAAUAGCUGAUCUGAGAGGAUGAUCAGCCACAUUGGGACUGAGACACGGCCCAAACUCCUACGGGAGGCAGCAGUAGGGAAUACUGCACAAUGGAGGAAACCCUGAUGCAGCGAUGCCGCGUGAGUGAAGAAGGCCUUUGGGUUGUAAAGCUCUUUCGUCGGGGAAGAAAAUGACGGUACCCGAAUAAGAAGGUCCGGCUAACUUCGUGCCAGCAGCCGCGGUAAUACGAAGGGACCUAGCGUAGUUCGGAAUUACUGGGCUUAAAGAGUUCGUAGGUGGUUAAAAAAGUUGGUUGUGAAAUCCCGAAGCUUAACUUCGGAACUGCAAUCAAAACUUUUUAGCUAGAGUAUGAUAGAGGAAAGCAGAAUUUCUAGUGUAGAGGUGAAAUUCGUAGAUAUUAGAAAGAAUACCAAUUGCGAAGGCAGCUUUCUGGAUCAUUACUGACGCUGAGGAACGAAAGCAUGGGUAGCGAAGAGGAU
Molecule: ribosomal RNA, 670 nt
Filed under: uncultured Alphaproteobacteria bacterium
Lineage: Bacteria; Pseudomonadati; Pseudomonadota; Alphaproteobacteria
Description: bacterial SSU rRNA
Rfam family: Bacterial small subunit ribosomal RNA
Source: RNAcentral